This 224-nucleotide unclassified non-coding RNA is filed under the name Trichogramma pretiosum. Its description in RNAcentral is "probable serine/threonine-protein kinase MARK-A, transcript variant X1". The record is from RNAcentral. Lineage: Eukaryota; Metazoa; Arthropoda; Insecta; Hymenoptera; Trichogrammatidae.
UAAUAUUAUUGUCUUGUGGUGCGCAAACACGUUUUUGCGUACGUUACGGCCGCCUAAUAGAAACUCUAUUUCAUUAAUUUUCAUUAUUUUUCUUAACUCACGUAUAAUAUAAAAUAUUGAGCUUUUAUUCAUGGAUUCCGGUGUCGACUCUGCAAGCAGUGACGAAACUCUUGAAAAAUCGUUACCGUUACGACGUCGAGGCGGCGGCUACCAAUAACAACGAU